This 503-nucleotide ribosomal RNA is filed under the name uncultured bacterium. RNAcentral describes it as "partial 16S ribosomal RNA". It matches the Rfam family "Bacterial small subunit ribosomal RNA", at positions 30 to 523 of the family's 1533-position model. The record is from RNAcentral.
AUUGAACGCUGGCGGCAGGCUUAACACAUGCAAGUCGAGCGGAGUGAUGGUGCUUGCACUAUCACUUAGCGGCGGACGGGUGAGUAAUGCUUAGGAAUCUGCCUAUUAGUGGGGGACAACAUCUCGAAAGGGAUGCUAAUACCGCAUACGUCCUACGGGAGAAAGCAGGGGAUCACUUGUGACCUUGCGCUAAUAGAUGAGCCUAAGUCGGAUUAGCUAGUUGGUGGGGUAAAGGCCUACCAAGGCGACGAUCUGUAGCGGGUCUGAGAGGAUCAUCCGCCACACUGGGGCUGAGACACGGCCCAGACUCCUACUGGAGUCAGCAGUGGUGAAUAUUGGACAAUGGGGGGAACCCUGAUCCAGCCAUGCCGCGUGUGUGAAGAAGGCCUUAUGGUUGUAAAGCACUUUAAGCGAGGAGGAGGCUCUUUUGGUUAAUACCCAAGAUGAGUGGACGUUACUCGCAGAAUAAGCACCGGCUAACUCUGUGCCAGCCGCCGCAGUAA